GUCCACGCCCUAAACGAUGAAUACUCGAUGUUAGCGAUAAACAGUUAGCGUCUAAGCGAAAGCGUUAAGUAUUCCACCUGGGGAGUACGCCCGGCAAGGGGUGAAACUCAAAGGAAUUGACGGGGGCCCCGCACAAGCGGAGGAGCAUGUGGUUUAAUUCGAUGAUACGCGAGGAACCUUACCCGGGCUUGAAAGUUAGUGAAUAAUUCAGAGAUGAAUUAGUGAGCAAAUCACACGAAACUAGGUGCUGCAUGGCUGUCGU
RNAcentral lists this ribosomal RNA (262 nucleotides) under uncultured bacterium. RNAcentral describes it as "partial 16S ribosomal RNA". It matches the Rfam family "Bacterial small subunit ribosomal RNA", at positions 793 to 1055 of the family's 1533-position model. The record is from RNAcentral.